Molecule: Y RNA, 102 nt
Filed under: Microcebus murinus (gray mouse lemur)
Lineage: Eukaryota; Metazoa; Chordata; Mammalia; Primates; Cheirogaleidae
Description: Y RNA (ENSMICG00000043472.1)
Rfam family: Y RNA
About the family: Y RNAs are components of the Ro ribonucleoprotein particle (Ro RNP), in association with Ro60 and La proteins.
Source: Rfam by way of RNAcentral
GUCUGGUCCAAGUGCAGUGGUGUUUACAACUAAUUGAUCACAACCAGUUACAGAUUCCUUUGUUCCUUCUCCACUCCCACUGCUUCACUUGACUAGCCUAAA